CUUGAACCAGCCAGACCUGCCUGAGUGUGCCAGUGGCCACACAGGUGCAGCUAAAUGAGUGGCCAGAUGGAUCUUGGAAGCUUCAUAGAAAUACGUCAUUCCAAGAUGGGACUCUGGCAUUUCCUUUACAACAUCCCCGAUAAGUGGAUGGGUCUAGCCACAUGGGGUUAUUUGUUUUGUUUUCAGGAUUAAGCAUGUAUUUAUUUUAGUUCAGUUAAAACAAACAUACAUUGUUUCAUUGAAACGGUGUAGCACUCUUUGCCAACAAGUCCUAGUGGAACUGUUGGCCUCCAACAGCAGAGUGGGGGUAUUUACACUAUAUACAGAAAGCUAACACACCCAGGUUCUCAAAGAUCUUUCAUUACACUAGAUCACAUUUGAUUCCGUUACCUUAGAUCACAUUUUGAAACUACUGCAUUUUGAAAAUUAGACCUUAUUUAAAAUUUAAAUAAGAGAUCUGAAUUUGCACCAAGUUUUCAUGAAAAAAGUGAUGUUCAUUCAGUCUGUUUAUUGCAAAUGCAAUUUAGGCAAUAUUUUAAAUUUUUAGUGUUUACAUAAUUAGUCAAUUUGUUUAUAUUGAAAUCUCUGUACAGGUACUUUGGGGACAAUUCUUAUAGAUACAUGUGAAUUCAUCAAAAUGCAGUUAAGAAACUUACAGGAAUAUAUACACUUGAACCCAAGACCCAAACCUGACAUUAUAUACAUCAUAUAUUACAAAUACAUAUGGACAGACAAUGUAUGUACAGAUUAUCAUAAAUAUUGAAAAAUAGGUUAGCUUUAAUGGAUUAAUGCUGUUCUAUAAAUAACAUUACAGUUAUAACUGAAACAUCCACGGAAGACAGUAAUGCAAAAUGAGGUGACGAGACAGUGGUUUUAAUACUGAAGACUGCUCAUUAAUGGGAAUUCACUGUUUUAGGAACCUCAAGGCAGACAAGAUAGCUCCAAGAAAAUCAUGCAAUGGAAUUUACCCUAGGCAGUUCAUUUUGAAUCUCAAACAGCCAAAAGAGGAUUGAAGGAG
Molecule: long non-coding RNA, 1018 nt
Filed under: Canis lupus familiaris (dog)
Lineage: Eukaryota; Metazoa; Chordata; Mammalia; Carnivora; Canidae
Description: lncRNA (ENSCAFG00030025312.1)
Source: RNAcentral